CGACCGGCGCACGGGUGAGUAACACGUAUCCAACCUGCCGUCUACUCUUGGCCAGCCUUCUGAAAGGAAGAUUAAUCCAGGAUGGCAUCAUGAGUUCACAUGUCCGCAUGAUUAAAGGUAUUUUCCGGUAGACGAUGGGGAUGCGUUCCAUUAGUUUGUUGGGGGGGUAACGGCCCACCAAGACUACGAUGGAUAGGGGUUCUGAGAGGAAGGUCCCCCACAUUGGAACUGAGACACGGUCCAA
This 244-nucleotide ribosomal RNA is filed under the name uncultured bacterium. Its description in RNAcentral is "partial 16S ribosomal RNA". It matches the Rfam family "Bacterial small subunit ribosomal RNA", at positions 92 to 334 of the family's 1533-position model. The record is from RNAcentral.